RNAcentral lists this ribosomal RNA (465 nucleotides) under uncultured bacterium. Its description in RNAcentral is "partial 16S ribosomal RNA". It matches the Rfam family "Bacterial small subunit ribosomal RNA", at positions 338 to 795 of the family's 1533-position model. The record is from RNAcentral.
CCUACGGGUGACAGCAGUAGGGAAUCUUCCACAAUGGGCGAAAGUCUGACGGAGCAACGCCGCGUGGGUGAAGAAGGUCUUCGGAUCGUAAAACCCUGUUGUUAGAGAAGAAAGUGCGUGAGAGUAACUGUUCACGUUUCGACGGUAUCUAACCAGACAGCCACGGCUAACUACGUGCCACCAGCCGCGGUAAUACGUAGGUGGCAAGCGUUGUCCGGAUUUAUUGGGGGUAAAGGGAACGCAGGCGGUCUUUUAAGUCUGAUGUGAAAGCCUUCGGCUUAACCGGAGUAGUGCAUUGGAAACGGGGAGACGUGAGUGCAGAAGAGGAGAGUGGAACUCCAUGUGUAGCGGUGAAAGGCGUAGAUAUAUGGAAGAACACCAGUGGCGAAGGCGGCUCUCUGGUCUGUAACUGACGCUGAGGUUCGAAAGCGUGGGUAGCAAACAGGAUUAGAUACCCCAGUAGUC